AGUGAACGCUGGCGGUAGGCCUAACACAUGCAAGUCGAACGCCAGCACAGUAAGAGCUUGCUCUUACGGGUGGCGAGUGGCGGACGGGUGAGGAAUACAUCGGAAUCUACUUUUUCGUGGGGGAUAACGUAGGGAAACUUACGCUAAUACCGCAUACGACCUACGGGUGAAAGCAGGGGUUCUUCGGACCUUGCGCGAUUCAAUGAGCCGAUGUCGGAUUAGUUAGUUGGCGGGGUAAAGGCCCACCAAGGCGACGUUCCGUGGCUGGUCCGAGAGGAUAAUCGCCCACACGGAACCUGGAAACGGGUCAAACCUCCAACGGGAGGCAGCAGUGGGAAUUAUGGGAAAUGGGGGAAAAGCCGGAGGCAGCCAGACCGCGUAGGUAAAGAGGGCCUCCGGGUGGUAAAGCCCUUUUGUUGGGAAAGAAAAGCAGCAGAGUAAUACCCCGCUGUUCUGACGGUACCCAAAGAAUAAGCACCGGCUAACUUCGU
Molecule: ribosomal RNA, 491 nt
Filed under: uncultured bacterium
Lineage: Bacteria
Description: partial 16S ribosomal RNA
Rfam family: Bacterial small subunit ribosomal RNA
Source: RNAcentral